AACGUAGGUGGCGAGCGUUAUCCGGAUUUACUGGGCGUAAAGGGCGGGCAGGCGGUCUGUCAAGUGGGGUGUGAAAGCUCUCAGCUUAACUGGGAGAGGCCGUUCCAGACUGACAGACUGGAGGGCAGUAGAGGUAGGCGGAAUUCCGGGUGGAGUGGUGAAAUGCGUAGAUAUCUGGAGGAACACCGGUGGCGAAGGCGGCGUCCUGGACCAACACUGACACUGAGGAGCGAAAGCCAGGGGAGCAAACGGG
RNAcentral lists this ribosomal RNA (253 nucleotides) under uncultured bacterium. RNAcentral describes it as "partial 16S ribosomal RNA". It matches the Rfam family "Bacterial small subunit ribosomal RNA", at positions 524 to 776 of the family's 1533-position model. The record is from RNAcentral.